GGGCCAGUGGUGUAGUUGGUAGCACACCCCCCUUCUUUGGAUGGUAAGAGGUGGGAAAGAUGGCUAUGGGUUUAGGGGCGGAGGUGCGGGUUCGAUCCCCGCGUGGUCCA
Molecule: non-coding RNA, 110 nt
Organism: Xylariaceae sp. FL0016
Lineage: Eukaryota; Fungi; Ascomycota; Sordariomycetes; Xylariales; Xylariaceae
Source: the annotation of a GenBank genome assembly